Molecule: RNA transcript, 7799 nt
Organism: Balaenoptera musculus (blue whale)
Lineage: Eukaryota; Metazoa; Chordata; Mammalia; Artiodactyla; Balaenopteridae
Gene: ATP11A
Gene name: ATPase phospholipid transporting 11A
Exons: 31
Source: RefSeq, a predicted model, not a curated record
GCCGCGGGGCGCAUGCUCACACGCGCUCGUGACGUGCGCCCGGGGACCGGCCUGCGGGAGGCCGGGCCGAGACGGCGGCGGGCGGAGACCGGGAGCAGAGCAGAGCAGGGCAGAGCCGCGGAGCGGAGAGGAGGAGCAGAGCAGCAGAGCAGCGGCGGGAGCGCCGGCCGCCGCGCCCCCGAGCCCGCAGCCCCACCGCCCGGGCCUCGGCACGCGGGCUCCGGUCGCUGAGCGGCCACCCCCGAGCCGGCCGCCGCGGGCCGGGCCGGGCAUGAGCGCUGAGGGGCCGCGGCCGCCCCCCGCACCGCCCGGCGCGCCGAGGCCGUGACCGGGGCGGAGCGCGCGGCCGCACUCGGGCCCGGGCCCAUGGGCGCGCCGAGCCCGGCUCGGGGGCGCUGAGCGGGCGGGCGCGGCCGGAGGAGCCAUGGACUGCAGCCUCGUGCGGACGCUCGUGCACAGAUACUGCGCCGGGGAGGAGGAAUGCGUGGACAGCCGGACCGUGUACGUGGGCCACCGCGAGCCGCCGCCGGGCGCUGAGGCCUACAUCCCGCAGAGGUGCCCGGACAACAGGAUCGUCUCCUCCAAGUACACAUUUUGGAACUUCAUACCCAAGAACUUAUUUGAACAAUUCAGAAGAAUAGCCAACUUUUAUUUUCUUAUCAUAUUUCUGGUACAGCUGAUCAUCGAUACGCCCACGAGUCCAGUGACGAGUGGCCUCCCGCUGUUCUUCGUCAUUACUGUCACAGCUAUCAAGCAGGGCUACGAGGACUGGCUGCGCCACAAAGCCGACAGCGCCGUGAACCAGUGCCCCGUGCACUUCGUCCAGCACGGCCGGCUGGUGCGGAAGCAGAGCCGGAAGCUCAGGGUCGGGGACAUCGUCAUGGUCAAGGAGGACGAGACCUUCCCCUGUGACCUGAUCUUCCUAUCCAGCAGCCGCGUGGACGGGACCUGCCACGUGACCACCGCCAGCCUGGACGGAGAGUCCAGCCACAAGACCCAUUAUGCAGUUCAAGACACAAAGGGGUUUCAUACGGAGGAAGAUAUGGAUUCUCUCCACGCCACCAUCGAGUGUGAGCAGCCCCAACCCGAUCUCUACAGGUUCGUCGGCCGCAUAAAUGUUUACAGCGAUCUGAAUGACCCUGUGGUGAGGCCAUUAGGAUCGGAAAACUUGCUUCUUAGAGGAGCCACGCUAAAGAACACUGAGAAAAUCUUCGGUGUUGCUAUUUACACGGGCAUGGAAACCAAGAUGGCGCUGAAUUAUCAGUCAAAAUCCCAGAAGCGAUCUGCUGUCGAAAAAUCAAUGAAUGUAUUCCUCAUCGUGUACCUCUGCAUCCUAAUCAGCAAAGCGCUGAUUAAUACCGUCAUGAAGUACGUGUGGCAGAGCGAGCCGUUCCGAGAUGAGCCAUGGUACAACCAGAAGACAGAGGCAGAAAGACAGAGGAACCUGUUUCUCAGAGCCUUCACGGACUUCCUGGCCUUCAUGGUUCUCUUCAACUACAUCAUCCCCGUGUCCAUGUACGUCACCGUGGAGAUGCAGAAGUUCCUCGGCUCCUACUUCAUCACCUGGGACGAAGAAAUGUUUGACGAGGAAACGGGAGAAGGGCCUCUGGUUAACACCUCGGAUUUAAACGAAGAGCUGGGACAGGUGGAGUACGUGUUCACGGACAAGACGGGCACCCUCACCGAGAACAACAUGGAGUUCAAGGAGUGCUGUGUGGAGGGCCACGUGUACGUGCCGCACGCCAUCUGCAACGGGCAGGUGCUCCCCGCCGCCGCCGCCAUCGACAUGAUCGACGCCUCCCCGGGCGCCGGCGGGCGGGAGCGGGAAGAGCUGUUUUUCCGGGCCGUCUGCCUGUGCCACACCAUCCAGGUGAAGGACGGCGACGAGGCGGACGGGCCCAGGAAGUCGCCGGACUCAGGGAGGCGCUGCGUGUACAUCUCAGCCUCGCCUGACGAGGUGGCUCUGGUCGAAGGCGUCCAGAGAGAAUUGACGCCCAGAGAUAUCAAGCAACUUCCCCAAAGUCACACAGCAAGGAAAAGAUUGGGCUUCACGUACCUGAGGCUGAAGGACAAUUACAUGGAGCUGCAAAACAGGGGCAAUGACAUUGAGAGGUUUGAAUUGCUGGAAAUUUUGAGCUUUGACUCAGUAAGGAGGAGGAUGAGUGUAAUUGUCAAAUCUGCUACAGGAGAAAUUUAUCUGUUUUGCAAAGGAGCAGAUUCUUCAAUAUUUCCCCGAGUGAUAGAAGGCAAGGUGGACCAGAUCCGAUCCAGAGUGGAGCGCAACGCAGUGGAGGGGCUUCGGACCUUGUGCGUUGCCUACAAAAGGCUCAUCCAAGAAGAAUAUGAAGGCAUCUGUAAGCUGCUGCAGGCUGCCAAAGUGGCGCUUCAAGAUCGGGAAAGGAAGUUAGCAGAAGCCUAUGAGCAAAUAGAGAAAGACCUUAUCCUGCUCGGUGCUACGGCCGUGGAGGAUCGGCUGCAGGAGAAGGCGGCCGACACCAUCGAGGCCCUGCAGAAGGCGGGCAUCAAGGUGUGGGUGCUCACGGGUGACAAGAUGGAGACAGCAGCCGCCGCCUGCUACGCCUGCAAGCUCUUCCGCAGGAAUACGCAGCUGCUCGAGGUCACCACCAAGAGGCUGGAGGAGCAGAGUCUGCACGACGUGCUCUUCGAGCUGAGCAAGACCAUCCUGCACUGCGGCGCCAGCCUGACCCGCGACAACUUCUCAGGACUCUCAGCCGAUACGCAGGACUACGGUUUAAUUAUUGAUGGCGCCGCGCUGUCCUUGAUAAUGAAGCCACGUGAGGACGGGAGCUCCAGCAGCUACCGGGAGCUCUUCCUGGACAUCUGCCGGAACUGCAGCGCCGUGCUCUGCUGCCGGAUGGCGCCCCUGCAGAAGGCCCAGAUUGUUAAGUUAAUCAAAUUUUCAAAAGAGCGCCCUAUCACUUUAGCGAUUGGUGACGGCGCCAAUGACGUCAGCAUGAUCCUAGAGGCCCACGUGGGCAUAGGCAUCGUUGGGAAGGAAGGUCGCCAGGCUGCACGGAACAGUGACUACGCGAUACCGAAAUUUAAGCACUUAAAGAAGAUGCUGCUUGUUCACGGGCACUUCUACUACAUUCGAAUAUCGGAGCUUGUGCAGUACUUCUUUUAUAAGAAUGUCUGCUUCAUUUUCCCUCAGUUUUUAUACCAGUUCUUCUGUGGGUUUUCACAACAGACCCUGUACGACACUGCCUACCUGACGCUGUACAACAUCAGCUUCACCUCCCUCCCCGUCCUGCUGUACAGCCUGAUGGAGCAGCACGUCGCCAUGGACACGCUCAAGAGGGACCCUGCCCUCUACAGAGACAUCGCCAAGAAUGCUCUCCUCCGCUGGCGGGUGUUCAUUUAUUGGACGUUCUUAGGCGUGUUCGAUGCUCUGGUGUUUUUCUUCGGUGCUUACUUCAUGUUUGAAAACACAACCGUGACCAGCAACGGACAGAUGUUUGGGAACUGGACCUUCGGGACGCUGGUAUUCACGGUGAUGGUGUUUACGGUCACCCUGAAGCUGGCGCUGGACACCCACUACUGGACUUGGAUAAACCACGUUGUGAUCUGGGGGUCGUUGCUGUUCUACGUCGUCUUCUCCCUCCUCUGGGGAGGGAUUAUCUGGCCGUUCCUCAAUUAUCAAAGGAUGUACUAUGUGUUCAUACAAAUGCUGUCCAGCGGCCCCGCCUGGCUGGCCAUCGUCCUGCUCGUCGUCGUCAGCCUCCUUCCCGACGUCCUCAAGAAAGUGCUGUGCCGGCAGCUGUGGCCCAGCGCCACCGAGAAAGUCCAGAGGAGCUCGAGCCGCCGAGCCCCGGCCGACGCCGCGCCAAGCCCUGACCGGCCUCUCCUGAUGGACCCCGAGCCGCGGCCGAGGCGCGAGUAGCUGGCGGAUAGGUAACGGCCACCCGCGGGCAGCCCGGUGUGCUGUGCUCUUGCUGACUGCGCGGUUUUCCUCCAAAGUUUUGCGUGCUGUGCUGUGUCUGUUAGGUUCACGGUGACAAAGAAAGGCUUUUACACACGUGGGUUCCAUCCCAGACCGCGUGCUUGGUGUCAGGACCACCUCUCGGGAGUCACCCACUUGCCUCUCUGUAGACCCCAGCCCUGGGCAGCGCCCUGGGAGGGCGGGGGGCGCCAGGCCCCCUCCUCCUCGGCCUCUCCCACCACCCGCGUCCCCACCCGGCUAGAGACCCUGCUCCCGUGGCCCGAGGGGAGACCGGAUGCGUGGAUCAGGGGUCCAGCCGCUAAGAGCCGCACGGUGAAGGGGACAGGACAGGCGUCCCCGGGCGGCGACCAGGCAGGACGCACACGAGCCCUCGGUGCACCCGGUGGGAGCCGGGGGACGUCUGCGGGGGAUCGCAAUCCCCCCCGGGUGAGGGCGCACCACGACCUCCUGGGAAGCGCAGCUGAGCCUUGCAGGUGGGGUCGGGUCUGGCCCCUCCUCCCGGGCCCCAAAACCUCUGCUUUCGGAACCAGCCCACGGACAUCCCAGGACCGGCACCCCUCCCUCCCGUCCGUCCACUGCUGUCGCCGGGACCUGCAGUAGCGAGGCUGACCGUGGACGUGUCUGGUCCCACGUCCCUUCCUCCGAGGGGCUGGGGCCUUUGUGCUUCGGGCACCGCCUCCUGCCUCCCCCCAGCUGCCUCUGCGAAGAGGGGAACCGGUCCAGUAAAGCUUCCGGCACAGGUUCCAGGCGAUUCAUCAUCCUGCUCACGAGGAUGUGGCUCACCGGGGUGCCCUCGCUGCGAAAUGCCCGUUUUGGGGUUGAGGGGAGGAGUGGGGCCUGGGUGCCCGAGGCCGGCCUCUGGUUGUGGUGCUCAGGCCCCCGUCAAGAGCGGUCGGCCUCCCGGGCGGUGUUGUCCCCCAGAUCUGUGUCAGGCCCACAGGGCUGACAAGGUGGCCUGGGCGACCUGAAAAGCAAUAUCGCUGCCCUCGCCGCCACCGCGCUGGCUCUGACCAAACCCUGCUCUGCCGGGGGUCCUAUCCGUGUCUCCUUGGGGGGGUGAACCGUCAGAAGGCAGCUGUGCUGUAAACUCCCUGUCACUUUCCUGUACCAGUAUCUUAUUUCUAGAAAUAACCCGUUCGACAUAGCCUUAAUAGUCCGUAAAGAAGACAUUUCAGUUUGAGAUUCAAACUUCAGAGGGUAAAACCAAUGGCUUUUUAGGAAGAGGUCACCCAGAAGCUAACCAUUGCCCCCACUGGAUGCAUGGGUGGGAUUCAGGGAUGUUGGUUGGGGAGUGAACACUGAGUCUACUUCCGAGAUGCUUGACGUUAGGGAUUUCGGGAAGUUCAGAUUUCAGUUUGAUUGUACAAUGUUCACCUAUAAACUACUUGUUUAAACGAGGGGAUGAGUUAACAGCAAGAACAAGGGUACACAGGUAGUCGGGGUGAAGCAGGUGAAGUAUAAACAUACCAAAGACUAGGAUGGUGGACGUGGGGCUUCCAGUGGGACGGGGGUGGGAGGGCGUGUCUGUCUGAGGGCCCUCCAGCCUCCGCCCCGCCCUCUGUCACCCACGCUCCACGUCCGGUGUGUGGUCCACACUAGACCCUGCAAACAACGGUGUGUGCAUUUUUACAGUCGUUUUUAAGAACCUAAAAUGGGUAUAAAUGUAAUACGUGUGGGGGACAGAUUCUCUGUACGUUUAGUUAACAAAUUGUUUGUAAUGUAUUUUUUUAGAAAUCUUAAAAUUCCCUUUGCACUGAAGUAUUUUCAUAGCUGUUUAUAAUCUUUUUUCUUCAUUUAUUUGUCAAUGUAUCGUAUCUAAUUUUUAAAGUAUGUUUUUAAAGCUUUUAUUUUUUAAGUUGAUGACAUUUUGGCCACUUUACAUUUGAAUUCUGAUGAACAUUUUGGCUGAAUGUCUCAAUAUCUGAUGAAUGUGAAUUUUCAGGUUUGAUUUUAUUCUCUACACCUGUUUAUUUUUGGUGUUUCUGGCGGUAGUGAGUAGCUAAAAGGCAUAUGUAGAGUAUGAUAAUUUGCUAUGCUCUUUCUUCACAGUUCAUUGCCAUUUCAUCUGCUUUUUAUUUGGUUUUUAAUUUCUAUCCUUCAGCCUUAAAAUAGAAGCUUCUUGACGGUUCUGUGUCCUCUUUUUUACCUGUAUUGAGACGGUUACCAUUUACCUCGGAUAAGUCAAGUCUCCUUAUGAAAGUUACUGACCUUUACAUGCUUCAAAAAGUCUUUUUAAAAUUGUUUGGGAAAUUAUUAAGUGACUGUGCCUGAUAAUUUGAAAUAGGCGAGGGGCAUGAGAUCAAAAGUAAAGUCAAAGGAGGGACAGGAGAACCCACCGAAGUGACAUUUCAGACAAGACAAUGAGAUUCCCAUCUGACAGUGGGCAGUACUUACUUGCCUUACACUAACCUUAAAGCAAGUAAUUUAAGCAUUUUCCUUAGUUUUGAAAAUCUUACAGCUGCACGUUAAUCACUUAUUGACAUUUCCCCCGUUGGUCCAGAUGUCUGGUUCCUGACCCACACGCCAUCCCCCGAAGCAAGCUGUCUGUAGGCCGUGUUGCUCCGGCCACCUCCGUUCUCCUGCUUUCAGCUCCCGGCCACCCGAGGCCGCAGGUGCACACACAUCCCACGUCCUAAGGGGACCCUGCGGGGGCCUCUGAGCCCCACCCUCAGGACAGGUGGCUGCCAGCAGCCCUCGGACCCUCCCAGCUGCAGCGGCCCUGUGUCCGGGGCUGGGAGUAAAGACCCGCUCUUGGCAACUCCUGUUAGAACCCAAAUCAGCCCAUUCCUGUGCCCUUGGUUCCAUGGGGUGAACGCAGACCAAAUGACCCACGCCCCCCUCCCCCGGGGGGGACUGUGGCCCCGUGAGACCCACUGGUGGCAGUGCCGGGCCGCGGGAGGAGCCCAGAAACACCACCUUCUGCAGUAACAGGUUUAUAGAAGCAUAGUUCGGCCUGGUGAGAUUUUGCAGCUUUAACUACAGAACUGCCUUGCACAUGCUGUGUAACUAUUCUUAAGUUCAUGGGCAUCAACCAAAAGUUCAGGGCAACCUAAGGGAAGUUUCCGGCCUUUUUCUUUAAAACCACUAAGUUCAUCUGUUUUGCUCUAUUAAUAACGUAAUACAACCACUUCUGCUUUAUCUUUAAAUUAAUGGUAUUUAUUUGACAACUCAGUGUAACAGCUUGCUAUGCACUUUCUUUUGGAAGUUUCCCAUUUGUAACUUUAAAAACAGGAAAAAUGUCAGCUGGCAAAUGCAUUCUUUUCUUUUUUUUUUUUUGUUUUUUGUUUUUAGUUAGAGGGUAGGUGAAUGGGGGUGAGAAUCAUUCUGAUUGUCUAUAAACAAAGCUUUAAUGAAGAUGUGUCAGAGUAUUAUUAAAGUGUGAUUCUACUUUUGCAGAAAAAAAUCUGAAGAUCCGUUUAUAUAGCUUUAUUUUUUACCUUAUCGAAAUAUACAGAAUUUUAAUAUGCGUAUAUUGUCUCUGACUUAAAGUUAUAAUGUGUGUCUGCAUUGCUGUUUAAAAUGUCCAUUCACUAUGUAAUGUAAUAAAAGAAUCUUCAAAACUGUAUUUAACACGAAUGUUAUCUCUAGGUGUUGUCAUCAUAAAUACUGGAAUUUAUUUUUAAAUUAUUGAAUAUAGUAGGUGCGUUUAAGAUAAUAAAUCAGCCUCCAAACAGUAGUGUUUAAUUGAUAAUUAUUUAUUAACCUGCUUUGAAAAAUUAAAUUGUGAAUUAAACCAAAUCUUAAAUUUCUGUAGAAUUUAUUUUGUAUGCUACUGUUUUUAACUUUUAUUUCUGUAGAUAAAGUAUAUCUUCAUAAUACGAAUUAUGAUUGGACUUUU